GACGAACGCUGGCGGCGUGCUUAACACAUGCAAGUCGAACGGAAAGGCCCUGCUUUUGUGGGGUGCUCGAGUGGCGAACGGGUGAGUAACACGUGAGUAACCUGCCCUUGACUUUGGGAUAACUUCAGGAAACUGGGGCUAAUACCGGAUAGGAGCUCCUGCUGCAUGGUGGGGGUUGGAAAGUUUCGGCGGUUGGGGAUGGACUCGCGGCUUAUCAGCUUGUUGGUGGGGUAGUGGCUUACCAAGGCUUUGACGGGUAGCCGGCCUGAGGGGGUGACCGGCCACAUUGGGACUGAGAUACGGCCCAGACUCCUACGGGAGGCAGCAGUGGGGAAUAUUGCACAAUGGGCGGAAGCCUGAUGCAGCAACGCCGCGUGCGGGAUGACGGCCUUCGGGUUGUAAACCGCUUUCGCCUGUGACGAAGCGGGAGUGACGGUAAUGGGUAAAGAAGCACCGGCUAACUACGUG
Molecule: ribosomal RNA, 468 nt
Filed under: uncultured bacterium
Lineage: Bacteria
Description: partial 16S ribosomal RNA
Rfam family: Bacterial small subunit ribosomal RNA
Source: RNAcentral